This 253-nucleotide ribosomal RNA is filed under the name uncultured bacterium. Its description in RNAcentral is "partial 16S ribosomal RNA". It matches the Rfam family "Bacterial small subunit ribosomal RNA", at positions 524 to 776 of the family's 1533-position model. The record is from RNAcentral.
GACAGGGGGCUCGAGCGUUAAUCGGAAUCACUGGGCUUAAAGGGUGCGUAGGCGGGUCAGUAAGCGCUUUGUGAAAUCCCAUGGCUCAACCAUGGAACCGCAGGGCGAACUGCUGACCUUGAGGAAGCUAGAGGCUGGUAGAACGAUAGGUGGAGCGGUGGAAUGCGUAGAGAUCUAUCGGAAUGCCGAAAGUGAAGACAGCCAGCUGGGGCUUUCCUGACGCUAAAGCACGAAAGCGUGGGGAGCAAACCGG